Molecule: ribosomal RNA, 274 nt
Filed under: uncultured prokaryote
Description: partial 16S ribosomal RNA
Rfam family: Bacterial small subunit ribosomal RNA
Source: RNAcentral
UACGUAGGGGCUAGCGUUAUCCGGAAUUACUGGGCGUAAAGGGCGCGUAGGCGGUCUGUUAAGUCUGGCGUUAAAGCCUGGGGCUCAACCCCAGAUCAGCGUUGGAUACUGGCAGGCUAGACGAUUGGAGAGGCGACUGGAAUUACCAGUGUAGCGGUGGAAUGCGUAGAUACUGGUAGGAACACCCAUUGCGAAGGCAGCUCGCUGGACAACACGUGACGCUGAGGCGCGAAAGUGUGGGGAGCAAACCGGAUUAGAUACCCCGGUAGUCCCU